AGUGAACGCUGGCGGUAGGCCUAACACAUGCAAGUCGAACGGCAGCACAGGAGAGCUUGCUCUCUGGGUGGCGAGUGGCGGACGGGUGAGGAAUACAUCGGAAUCUACUCUGUCGUGGGGGAUACCGUAGGGAAACUUACGCUAAUACCGCAUACGACCUACGGGUGGAAGCAGGGGACCUUCGGGCCUUUCGCGUUUGAAUUAGCCGAUGUCGGAUUAGCUAGUUGGCGGGGUAAAGGCCCCCCAAGGCGACGGUCCGUAGCUGGUCUGAGAGGAUGAUCAGCCACACUGGAACUGAGACACGGUCCAGACUCCUACGGGAGGCAGCAGUGGGGAAUAUUGGACAAUGGGCGCAAGCCUGAUCCAGCCAUACCGCGUGGGUGAAGAAGGCCUUCGGGUUGUAAAGCCCUUUUGUUGGGAAAGAAAUCCAGCUGGCUAAUACCCGGUUGGGAUGACGGUACCCAAAGAAUAAGCACCGGCUAACUUCGUGCCAGCCGCCGCGGUAA
RNAcentral lists this ribosomal RNA (506 nucleotides) under uncultured bacterium. Its description in RNAcentral is "partial 16S ribosomal RNA". It matches the Rfam family "Bacterial small subunit ribosomal RNA", at positions 29 to 523 of the family's 1533-position model. The record is from RNAcentral.